GGAGCUUAACCGCCUAACACCUCCAACGAGAGCGCAUGGAAAAAAACAAGUUUUGCUCUGGCAGCAGGAAGAUAAGUGACGUGCUUCAAACUGGUUGGUUUUGUCGCUGGGUUUGGCUCUUCUUCCGAUUCUACGGCUACAUCUACCUGAGAGGACGGCUUUUUUCUUCCUAAUCGCCGCUCCAGAGGUCGACCGUCCUUCAGCAGGAGCAGGAAAGAGGAAGACUGGCCAACAGGGCGUCAAGAGCCCUCAUACAAUGAUGCCUCUUGUCUUGGUUUUCUGGCUCGGUGACUGCACCUGGGAAAGACUGGAGGGCCUGCAGCACUGGUUUAUAAUGCUGAUGAUUAACUAAAUAGAGUCUGGGAGAGCAGGUCUGCUUGGCUUUCUCAUUUCAUGGGGCCUGCCUGACCGGGACGAAGACGGAGCAUUCUCAGGCAGUGGGCUGGAAAUUCAAGAUCUUUUUUCUCUUUCUUUUUUGGCCUCCACCCUCUAAACGUAUUCACUUUUCUUCGGUUUUGUUACAUUCCUUCCUUGGGGUACCUUUCAUGACGGUAAGGUUACAGGUGCAUUCUCUGUUUUCCUUCUCCACCUUCUUUCCCCCAAACUUUUCCCUCCCUUCGAUUCUCUUUUCUUUCUCCCUCCCCGUCUCUCCCCCCUGCUCCACUUUUGCAUUACUUACAGGAUAACUUGAAACCUA
Amphiprion ocellaris (clown anemonefish) is the source of this 697-nucleotide long non-coding RNA. The record is from Ensembl. NCBI's taxonomy places the organism in Eukaryota, Metazoa, Chordata, Actinopteri, Pomacentridae.